Molecule: ribosomal RNA, 411 nt
Filed under: Escherichia coli
Lineage: Bacteria; Pseudomonadati; Pseudomonadota; Gammaproteobacteria; Enterobacterales; Enterobacteriaceae
Description: partial 23S ribosomal RNA
Rfam family: Bacterial large subunit ribosomal RNA
Source: RNAcentral
GGGUUGUGAGGUUAAGCGACUAAGCGUACACGGUGGAUGCCCUGGCAGUCAGAGGCGAUGAAGGACGUGCUAAUCUGCGAUAAGCGUCGGUAAGGUGAUAUGAACCGUUAUAACCGGCGAUUUCCGAAUGGGGAAACCCAGUGUGUUUCGACACACUAUCAUUAACUGAAUCCAUAGGUUAAUGAGGCGAACCGGGGGAACUGAAACAUCUAAGUACCCCGAGGAAAAGAAAUCAACCGAGAUUCCCCCAGUAGCGGCGAGCGAACGGGGAGCAGCCCAGAGCCUGAAUCAGUGUGUGUGUUAGUGGAAGCGUCUGGAAAGGCGCGCGAUACAGGGUGACAGCCCCGUACACAAAAAUGCACAUGCUGUGAGCUCGAUGAGUAGGGCGGGACACGUGGUAUCCUGUCUGAA